AUUGAACGCUAGCGGCAUGCCUUACACAUGCAAGUCGAACGGCAGCACGGGGGGCAACCCUGGUGGCGAGUGGCGAACGGGUGAGUAAUGCAUCGGAACGUGCCCAUCGAUGGGGGAUAACUGCGCGAAAGCGUUGCUAAUACCGCAUACGACCUACGGGUGAAAGCAGGGGACCGCAAGGCCUUGCGUCGAUGGAGCGGCCGAUGCCGGAUUAGCUAGUUGGUGAGGUAAAGGCUCACCAAGGCGACGAUCCGUAGCUGGUCUGAGAGGACGACCCAGCCACACUGGGACUGAGACACGGCCCAGACUCCUACGGGAGGCAGCAGUGGGGAAUCUUGGACAAUGGGCGAAAGCCUGAUCCAGCAAUGCCGCGUGUGGGAAGAAGGCCUUCGGGUUGUAAACCACUUUUGGCGGGAAAGAAAUGGUCUGUGCUAAUACCACGGAUUGAUGACGGUACCCGCAGAAUAAGCACCGGCUAACUACGUG
This 486-nucleotide ribosomal RNA is filed under the name uncultured bacterium. RNAcentral's name for it is "bacterial SSU rRNA". It matches the Rfam family "Bacterial small subunit ribosomal RNA", at positions 29 to 507 of the family's 1533-position model. The record is from RNAcentral.